RNAcentral lists this long non-coding RNA (740 nucleotides) under Capsicum annuum. Its description in RNAcentral is "long non-coding RNA (CANN_LNC008871)". Lineage: Eukaryota; Viridiplantae; Streptophyta; Magnoliopsida; Solanales; Solanaceae. The record is from RNAcentral.
UCAAUCAGAUCCUAAAUGAUCUCAAAUUCUUGGCCCAAAAUUUGAGUUGAUUGGAAAAAGGUUCACUCCAAAGGACAAUGUGGGGUUUCAUUAUAGAAGAAGUGGGGUUCAUGGAGUUAUGUUUUUUGGGGGCAGUUGGAAUCCAUGGUGAGGGCCACAUAUAUAGUUCUGUUGGACUUGGAAAAAAUAGAAAAAAAAUUAUUUGAUCUAGCUAUCUCAGUUCACAUAUUACUUUUUAUAGUGAUAUUUCAAAAUUACAUGGUAUACUGAGAUUAUGAAAUUUUAUAGCAUGUAUAUACUUAUAAAUAUGUAUCUAAAAAUUCUAAUCAUCACUGUUCACCAGAGCCGGCUUAAUGAUAAAGUCAUUGCUUUACAGGAAAUUGCCUGUCAUAGAUCCAUAUAUGAGUGAUCUUAGAUAUUUGAUCCCAAAUAAAAUCAAAUAAAAAUGUCUUUGAAAAAUAGUCUUUCUUACUUUUUAAUAUACUAAAAGUACCAUUUUACCCCUCUACACCUCAAAUAUAUUUUUAGACUUUUCAUACUCAUUUAUCUCUCAAAUUUUAUUUUUAUUAUUUUCACUUUUUAUUUUUCCUUUUCUUUUAUUAUUCUACUUUAUUUUUAUUAUUUUCACUUUUUUAUUUUUCCUUUUUUAUUAUUCUACUUUAUUUUCGGUUUUUAUUUUUUUUCUUUAAAUUUAUUAUUCUAUUUUUUAUUAUUUUCACUUUUUAUAUCUUGGACUUUGC